UCCUACGGGAGGCAGCAGUGAGGAAUAUUGGUCAAUGGGCGGAAGCCUGAACCAGCCAAGUCGCGUGAGGGAAUAAGGCCCUACGGGUCGUAAACCUCUUUUGCCGGGGAGCAAGGGCCGGGACGAGUCCCGGUCCGGAGAGUACCCGGAGAAAAAGCAUCGGCUAACUCCGUGCCAGCAGCCGCGGUAAUACGGAGGAUGCGAGCGUUAUCCGGAAUGAUUGGGCGUAAAGGGUGCGCAGGCGGUGCGUCAAGUCUGAAGUAAAAGGUACAGGCUCAACCUGUGCAGGCUUUGGAAACUGGCGC
Molecule: ribosomal RNA, 305 nt
Filed under: uncultured bacterium
Lineage: Bacteria
Description: bacterial SSU rRNA
Rfam family: Bacterial small subunit ribosomal RNA
Source: RNAcentral